AAGACUAUAGACCUGCGGAGUACCUGCGGAAGGAUCAUUAACGUGUCUAUGAUGGGGUGCGGAGCGCCCUGCUCCGGUCGAACGGCCGUGCAGCGGGUGCGCCGCCCCCGUCCCACCUCACAAACCCACUGUGAACAUUCACCGGUGGAGGGGGCUCGGUCUGCGCCGUGUCCCCGAUGCCGAAUACCCAAACUCCAGUUGCAAAGAACGUCGUGCGGACUCGGUGCCGCCUAAAACAUG
RNAcentral lists this unclassified non-coding RNA (240 nucleotides) under soil metagenome. Its description in RNAcentral is "partial contains 5.8S ribosomal RNA, internal transcribed spacer 2, and large subunit ribosomal RNA". The record is from RNAcentral.